GCAAUGCCGCGUGAGUGAAGAAGGCCUUCGGGUUGUAAAGCUCUUUUGUCAGGGAAGAAACGGUGUGGGCUAAUAUCCUGCACUAAUGACGGUACCUGAAGAAUAAGCACCGGCUAACUACGUGCCAGCAGCCGCGGUAAUACGUAGGGUGCAAGCGUUAAUCGGAAUUACUGGGCGUAAAGCGUGCGCAGGCGGUUUUGUAAGUCUGUCGUGAAAUCCCCGGGCUCAACCUGGGAAUUGCGAUGGAGACUGCAAGGCUAGAAUCUGGCAGAGGGGGGUAGAAUUCCACGUGUAGCAGUGAAAUGCGUAGAGAUGUGGAGGAACACCGAUGGCGAAGGCAGCCCCCUGGGUCAAGAUUGACGCUCAUGCACGAAAGCGUGGGGAGCAAACAGGAUUAGAUACCCUGGUAGUCCACGCCCUAAACGAUGUCUACUAGUUGUCGGGUUUUAAUUAACUUGGUAACGCAGCUAACG
RNAcentral lists this ribosomal RNA (473 nucleotides) under Massilia sp. RNAcentral describes it as "bacterial SSU rRNA". It matches the Rfam family "Bacterial small subunit ribosomal RNA", at positions 391 to 857 of the family's 1533-position model. The record is from RNAcentral. Lineage: Bacteria; Pseudomonadati; Pseudomonadota; Betaproteobacteria; Burkholderiales; Oxalobacteraceae.